GACGAACCGUGCGAACGUUGUUCGGAAUCACUGGGCUUAAAGGGCGCGUAGGCGGGCGACCAAGUCAGAGGUGAAAUCCCACGGCUCAACCGUGGAAGUGCCCCUGAUACUGGUUGUCUCGAGGGAGAUAGGGGCGUGCGGAACUUCCGGUGGAGCGGUGAAAUGCGUAGAUAUCGGAAGGAACACCGGUGGCGAAAGCGGCGCGCUGGAUCUCUACUGACGCUGAGGCGCGAAAGCCAGGGGAGCAAACGGG
Molecule: ribosomal RNA, 253 nt
Filed under: uncultured bacterium
Lineage: Bacteria
Description: partial 16S ribosomal RNA
Rfam family: Bacterial small subunit ribosomal RNA
Source: RNAcentral